RNAcentral lists this transfer RNA (62 nucleotides) under Echinobothrium harfordi. RNAcentral describes it as "tRNA-Thr". Lineage: Eukaryota; Metazoa; Platyhelminthes; Cestoda; Diphyllidea; Echinobothriidae. The record is from RNAcentral.
GGUCUCUUAGUUUAUCGUAGAAUACUGAUUUUGUAAUUCAGAGGGAGUUUUGCUAUUGACCU